This 548-nucleotide ribosomal RNA is filed under the name uncultured bacterium. RNAcentral's name for it is "bacterial SSU rRNA". It matches the Rfam family "Bacterial small subunit ribosomal RNA", at positions 355 to 895 of the family's 1533-position model. The record is from RNAcentral.
UAGGGAAUCUUCCACAAUGGGCGAAAGCCUGAUGGAGCAACGCCGCGUGUGUGAUGAAGGCUUUAGGGUCGUAAAGCACUGUUGUAUGGGAAGAAAUGCUAGAAUAGGGAAUGAUUCUAGUUCGACGGUACCAUACCAGAAAGGGACGGCUAAAUACGUGCCAGCAGCCGCGGUAAUACGUAUGUCCCGAGCGUUAUCCGGAUUUAUUGGGCGUAAAGCGAGCGCAGACGGUUGAUUAAGUCUGAUGUGAAAGCCCGGAGCUCAACUCCGGAAUGGCAUUGGAAACUGGUUAACUUGAGUGUUGUAGAGGUAAGUGGAACUCCAUGUGUAGCGGUGGAAUGCGUAGAUAUAUGGAAGAACACCAGUGGCGAAGGCGGCUUACUGGACAACAACUGACGUUGAGGCUCGAAAGUGUGGGUAGCAAACAGGANUAGAUACCCUGGUAGUCCACACCGUNNCGAUGAAUACUAGGUGUUAGGAGGUUUCCGCCUCUUAGUGNCGAAGCUAACGCAUUAANUAUUCCGCCUGGGGAGUACNACCGCAAGGUU